Molecule: ribosomal RNA, 377 nt
Filed under: uncultured eukaryote
Lineage: Eukaryota
Description: partial 18S ribosomal RNA
Rfam family: Eukaryotic small subunit ribosomal RNA
Source: RNAcentral
CAAUAGCGUAUAUUUAAGUUGCUGCAGUUAAAAAGCUCGUAGUUGGAUUUCGGGUGGGAAUGGCCGGUCCGCCGUUUCGGUGUGCACUUGCUACGCCCACCUUGCUGCCGGGGACGUGCUCUUGAGUUCACGCUCGGGACACGGAGUCGGCGAGGUUACUUUGAGUAAAUUAGAGUGUUCAAAGCAGGCCUACGCUCUGAAUACAUUAGCAUGGAAUAACACGAUAGGACUCUGGCCUAUCUUGUUGGCCUGUAGGACCGGAGUAAUGAUUAAGAGGGACAGUCGGGGGCAUUCGUAUUUCAUUGUCAGAGGUGAAAUUCUUGGAUUUAUGAAAGACGAACUACUGCGAAAGCAUUUGCCAAGGACGUUUUCAUUAA